Molecule: ribosomal RNA, 275 nt
Filed under: uncultured prokaryote
Description: partial 16S ribosomal RNA
Rfam family: Bacterial small subunit ribosomal RNA
Source: RNAcentral
UACGUAGGGGCUAGCGUUAUCCGGAAUUACUGGGCGUAAAGGGUGCGUAGGUGGUUUCUUAAGUCAGAGGUGAAAGGCUACGGCUCAACCGUAGUAAGCUUUGAAACUGGGAAACUUGAGUGCAGGAGAGGAGAGUGGAAUUCCUAGUGUAGCGGUGAAAUGCGUAGAUAUUAGGAGGAACACCAGUUGCGAAGGCGGAUCUCUGGACUGUAACUGACGAUGAGGCUCGAAAGCGUGGGGAGCAAACAGGAUUAGAUACCCUGGUAGUCCCUGAG